GACGAACGCUGGCGGCGUGCCUAACACAUGCAAGUCGAACGGAAGUAAGUGCUUCGGUAUUUACUUUAGUGGCGAACGGGUGAGUAACGCGUGAGGAACCUGCCUUUCAGUGGGGGACAACAGUUGGAAACGACUGCUAAUACCGCAUAAUGCAUUUAGGGGGCAUCCCCUGAAUGCCAAAGCUUUAUGUGCUGAAAGAUGGUCUCGCGUCCGAUUAGCUAGUUGGCAGGGUGAUAGCCUACCAAGGCGACGAUCGGUAGCCGACCUGAGAGGGUGAUCGGCCACAUUGGAACUGAGAUACGGUCCAA
This 308-nucleotide ribosomal RNA is filed under the name uncultured bacterium. RNAcentral's name for it is "bacterial SSU rRNA". It matches the Rfam family "Bacterial small subunit ribosomal RNA", at positions 28 to 334 of the family's 1533-position model. The record is from RNAcentral.